AUUGAACGCUGGCGGCAUGCCUUACACAUGCAAGUCGAACGGUAACAGGUCUUCGGAUGCUGACGAGUGGCGAACGGGUGAGUAAUACAUCGGAACGUGCCUAGUAGUGGGGGAUAACUACUCGAAAGAGUGGCUAAUACCGCAUGAGAUCUACGGAUGAAAGCAGGGGAUCGCAAGACCUUGUGCUACUAGAGCGGCCGAUGGCGGAUUAGGUAGUUGGUGGGAUAAAAGCUUACCAAGCCGACGAUCUGUAGCUGGUCUGAGAGGACGAUCAGCCACACUGGGGCUGAGAAACGGCCCAGACUCCUACGGGAGGCAGCAGUGGGGAAUUUUGGACAAUGGGCGCAAGCCUGAUCCAGCAAUGCCGCGUGCAGGAUGAAGGCCUUCGGGUUGUAAACUGCUUUUGUACGGAACGAAAAGCCCCGGGUUAAUACCCUGGGGUCAUGACGGUACCGUAAGAAUAAGCACCGGCUAACUACGUGCCAGCCGCCGCGGUAA
RNAcentral lists this ribosomal RNA (498 nucleotides) under uncultured bacterium. RNAcentral's name for it is "partial 16S ribosomal RNA". It matches the Rfam family "Bacterial small subunit ribosomal RNA", at positions 30 to 523 of the family's 1533-position model. The record is from RNAcentral.